ACAGUCACACAUUAGAUACCCCGGUAGUCCUGGCCGUAAACGAUGUGGACUUGGUGUUGGAAUGGCUCCGAGCUGCUCCAGUGCCGAAGAGAAGCUGUUAAGUCCACCGCCUGGGAAGUACGGUCGCAAGGCUGAAACUUAAAGGAAUUGGCGGGGGAGCACAACAACGGGUGGAGCCUGCGGUUUAAUUGGACUCAACGCCGGACAACUCACCGGGACGACAGCAAUAUGUAGGCCAGGCUGAAGACCUUGCCUGAAUCGCUG
This 264-nucleotide ribosomal RNA is filed under the name uncultured archaeon. RNAcentral describes it as "partial 16S ribosomal RNA". It matches the Rfam family "Archaeal small subunit ribosomal RNA", at positions 719 to 982 of the family's 1478-position model. The record is from RNAcentral.